UACGGAGGGUGCGAACGUUGCUCGGAAUUACUGGGCGUAAAGCGCUCGUAGGCGGUUGUUCAAGUCAGAUGUGAAAUCCCCGAGCUCAACUUGGGAAGUGCAUUUGAAACUGGACGGCUGGAGGAUGGGAGGGGGUAGCGGAAUUCCCGGUGUAGAGGUGAAAUUCGUAGAUAUCGGGAGGAACACCAGAGGCGAAGGCGGCUACCUGGACCAUACCUGACGCUGAGGAGCGAAAGCGUGGGGAGCAAACAGGAUUAGAUACCCCCGUAGUCC
RNAcentral lists this ribosomal RNA (273 nucleotides) under uncultured bacterium. RNAcentral describes it as "partial 16S ribosomal RNA". It matches the Rfam family "Bacterial small subunit ribosomal RNA", at positions 524 to 796 of the family's 1533-position model. The record is from RNAcentral.